This is a non-coding RNA of Pelobates cultripes (western spadefoot toad), 219 nucleotides long. The record is from the annotation of a GenBank genome assembly. NCBI's taxonomy places the organism in Eukaryota, Metazoa, Chordata, Amphibia, Anura, Pelobatidae.
AUCUGUGUAACCUGGACAUAUACAAGUAGUCUAGGAGAAAAUCAUAAAAUAUACUUGAUACAAAAUAAGAAAGUAUCCAUACAGGAUGUGAAUUAAAAAGUCAAGUAGAUACAAAUAUAUAUCGUAAUCCCUGGGUGGUAUAGUUAUGUUACCAGUAUAUCCUUAGCAAUAGAUAGAAAUUCUGUGCUUUAUUCAGACUGGCUCUUAACGAUUCUAUAC